RNAcentral lists this ribosomal RNA (253 nucleotides) under uncultured bacterium. RNAcentral describes it as "partial 16S ribosomal RNA". It matches the Rfam family "Bacterial small subunit ribosomal RNA", at positions 524 to 776 of the family's 1533-position model. The record is from RNAcentral.
UACGGGGGGGGCAAGCGUUGUUCGGAAUUACUGGGCGUAAAGGGCUCGUAGGCGGCCAACUAAGUCAGACGUGAAAUCCCUCGGCUUAACCGGGGAACUGCGUCUGAUACUGGAAGGCUUGAGGAUGGGAGAGGGAUGUAGAAUUCCAGGUGUAGCGGUGAAAUGCGUAGAUAUCUGGAGGAAUACCGGUGGCGAAGGCGGCAUCCUGGACCAUUUCUGACGCUGAGGCGCGAAAGCUAGGGGAGCAAACGGG